RNAcentral lists this ribosomal RNA (497 nucleotides) under uncultured bacterium. RNAcentral's name for it is "partial 16S ribosomal RNA". It matches the Rfam family "Bacterial small subunit ribosomal RNA", at positions 28 to 507 of the family's 1533-position model. The record is from RNAcentral.
GAUGAACGCUGGCGGCGUGCCUAAUACAUGCAAGUCGAGCGAACGGACGAGAAGCUUGCUUUUCUGAUGUUAGCGGCGGACGGGUGAGUAACACGUGGAUAACCUACCUAUAAGACUGGGAUAACUUCGGGAAACCGGAGCUAAUACCGGAUAAUAUUUUGAACCGCAUGGUUCAAAAGUGAAAGACGGUCUUGCUGUCACUUAUAGAUGGAUCCGCGCUGCAUUAGCUAGUUGGUAAGGUAACGGCUUACCAAGGCAACGAUGCAUAGCCGACCUGAGAGGGUGAUCGGCCACACUGGAACUGAGACACGGUCCAGACUCCUACGGGAGGCAGCAGUAGGGAAUCUUCCGCAAAGGGCGAAAGCCUGACGGAGCAACGCCGCGUGAGUGAUGAAGGUCUUCGGAUCGUAAAACUCUGUUAUUAGGGAAGAACAUAUGUGUAAGUAACUGUGCAUAUCUUGACGGUACCUAAUCAGAAAGCCACGGCUAACUACGUG